RNAcentral lists this ribosomal RNA (406 nucleotides) under uncultured bacterium. RNAcentral describes it as "partial 16S ribosomal RNA". It matches the Rfam family "Bacterial small subunit ribosomal RNA", at positions 30 to 526 of the family's 1533-position model. The record is from RNAcentral.
AUUGAACGCUGGCGGCAGGCCUAACACAUGCAAGUCGAACGAGUGGCGGACGGGUGAGUAAUGUCUGGGAAACUGCCCGAUGGAGGGGGAUAACUACUGGAAACGGUAGCUAAUACCGCAUACCAUCGGAUGUGCCCAUAUGGGAUUAGCUAGUAGGUGGGGUAACGGCUCACCUAGGCGACGAUCCCUAGCUGGUCUGAGAGGAUGACCGGCCACACUGGAACUGAGACACGGCCCAGACUCCUACGGGAGGCAGCAGUGGGGAAUAUUGCACAAUGGGCGCAAGCCUGAUGCAGCCAUGCCGCGUGUAUGAAGAAGGCCUUCGGGUUGUAAAGUACUUUCAGCGAGGAGGCGUUACCCGCAGAAGAAGCACCGGCUAACUCCGUGCCAGCCGCCGCGGUAAUAC